Molecule: transfer RNA, 67 nt
Filed under: Haematomyzus elephantis (elephant louse)
Lineage: Eukaryota; Metazoa; Arthropoda; Insecta; Psocodea; Haematomyzidae
Description: tRNA-Gly
Source: RNAcentral
UCUAACUAAGUAUAAUACUUUUGUACAUUUAGCUUCCACCUAAAAGGUCCUUAUAAAGGAGUUAGAA